GAUCCAUUCCUCUAUCUUCUCACUCCCUUAAGUAUAACCGUAAUUCUCUCAGCGUCAUCUCCAUAGCUUCGAUCAUUUCACGUUUGCUUCGCCUAUCUUUCAAGUCGGCACCGUCAUCAAAUUAAUUUCAGGGGGUUUGGUUCGCCAUGAGUAGUAGAGCUUCCUCUGUUGUCUUCUGCUCUUCCGCUUCCCUCUCGUUAAGCAGAACACAUUGAUUUUGAGAGGGAUUUGAGGAUUGAUUGAAGUUGGAAAGAUUCUACUAGGUCGAUGAUGACUGGCAGUUCCUUUUAGAGAACAACAGUUUGCAGGUUGAGGAGACAGUAAAAAAAUAUUCUGAUCAAUAUUAUGCAAAACUAGGGCACAUGGAGCAGUAGCUUGAGAAAACUCUAGAUACUCUGAUGUCCAAGUGCAGGUAUUUAUUGAUGAUGC
This is a long non-coding RNA of Rosa rugosa (rugosa rose), 429 nucleotides long. RefSeq lists it as uncharacterized. The record is from RefSeq and is a predicted model, not a curated record. Lineage: Eukaryota; Viridiplantae; Streptophyta; Magnoliopsida; Rosales; Rosaceae. The transcript is spliced from 4 exons.